UGUGAAGAUGCAGUGUACCCGCGGCAAGACGGAAAGACCCCGUGAACCUUUACUAUAGCUUGACACUGAACAUUGAGCCUUGAUGUGUAGGAUAGGUGGGAGGCUUUGAAGUGUGGACGCCAGUCUGCAUGGAGCCGACCUUGAAAUACCACCCUUUAAUGUUUGAUGUUCUAACGUGGACCCGUUACCCGGGUUGCGGACAGUGUCUGGUGGGUAGUUUGACUGGGGCGGUCUCCUCCUAAAGAGUAACGGAGGAGCACGAAGGUUGGCUAAUCCUGGUCGGACAUCAGGAGGUUAGUGCAAUGGCAUAAGCCAGCUUGACUGCGAGCGUGACGGCGCGAGCAGGUGCGAAAGCAGGUCAUAGUGAUCCGGUGGUUCUGAAUGGAAGGGCCAUCGCUCAACGGAUAAAAGGUACUCCGGGGAUAACAGGCUGAUACCGCCCAAGAGUUCAUAUCGACGGCGGUGUUUGGCACCUCGAUGUCGGCUCAUCACAUCCUGGGGCUGAAGUAGGUCCCAAGGGUAUGGCUGUUCGCCAUUUAAAGUGGUACGCGAGCUGGGUUUAGAACGUCGUGAGACAGUUCGGUCCCUAUCUGCCGUGGGCGCUGGAGAACUGAGGGGGGCUGCUCCUAGUACGAGAGGACCGGAGUGGACGCAUCACUGGUGUUCGGGUUGUCAUGCCAAUGGCACUGCCCGGUAGCUAAAUGCGGAAGAGAUAAGUGCUGAAAGCAUCUAAGCACGAAACUUGCCCCGAGAUGAGUUCUCCCUGAGACUUUAGGUCUCCUGAAGGAACGUUGAAGACGACGACGUUGAUAGGCCGGGUGUGUAAGCGCAGCGAUGCGUUGAGCUAACCGGUACUAAUGAACCGUGAGGCUUAACCUUACAACGCCG
RNAcentral lists this ribosomal RNA (888 nucleotides) under Salmonella enterica subsp. enterica serovar Paratyphi A. RNAcentral's name for it is "partial 23S ribosomal RNA". It matches the Rfam family "Bacterial large subunit ribosomal RNA", at positions 2052 to 2925 of the family's 2925-position model. The record is from RNAcentral. Lineage: Bacteria; Pseudomonadati; Pseudomonadota; Gammaproteobacteria; Enterobacterales; Enterobacteriaceae.